CGCGAAUCGCCCUUCGGGGUGCAGCAGGCGCGAAAACUUUACAAUGCCGGCAACGGCGAUAAGGGAACCUCGAGUGCCAGGUUACAAAUCUGGCUGUCGUGAUGCCUAAAAAGCAUUGCAUAGCAAGGGCCGGGCAAGACCGGUGCCAGCCGCCGCGGUAACACCGGCGGCUCGAGUGGUAACCGUUAUUAUUGGGUCUAAAGGGUCUGUAGCCGGCCGGGUAAGUCUCUUGGGAAAUCUGGCAGCUUAACUGUCAGGCUUUCAGGAGAUACUGCCUGGCUCGAGGCCGGGAGAGGUGAGAGGUACUUCAGGGGUAGGGGUGAAAUCUUGUAAUCCUUGAAGGACCACCAGUGGCGAAGGCGUCUCACCAGAACGGACCUGACGGCAAGGGACGAAAGCUAGGGGCACGAACCGGAUUAGAUACCCGGGUAGUCCUAGCCGUAAACGAUACUCGCUAGGUGUCGGCCACGGUGCGACCGCGGUCGGUGCCGUAGGGAAGCCGUGAAGCGAGCCACCUGGGAAGUACGGCCGCAAGGCUGAAACUUAAAGGAAUUGGCGGGGGAGCAC
Molecule: ribosomal RNA, 567 nt
Filed under: uncultured archaeon
Lineage: Archaea
Description: bacterial SSU rRNA
Rfam family: Archaeal small subunit ribosomal RNA
Source: RNAcentral